CUACAGUGAUCCUUGCCCUUUUAGGCUUUUACAUUCCUAAGAUAUCUGCUUGCCCUGUUUGGUGUGUAUGUGUGUAUAACUCUGCUUACACUUCCUCUAACAGGAAAUUACCCCUCUUUCUUCUAAAUGGUUACCUGAACAAUAUUUUACUUUAAAAUUAAAAGUUGCAUUUACUCAUUUAACAGCAAUUAAAAGUUAAAUACUUUACCCUUCCACAUUAAAACAUUAAAUUUUGUUUAUAUUAUAGGCAUCAAUUCCCUUAUUCAAAUUUGUAGCAUUCAAAUCUAUUCAAUCGUUUUGAAGGUUAUUUUUUAAAACCAAGUCAAAGUAUAUAUGUAUGUGUAUUACACACGGAGACAGUUCGCUUUUAUUUUUUAAAUAAUUUUACUGUAUAGAGUGCCCUUAUCUCUUAAUUACAGCACCCUGAAAAUAGGUUUUCCUUAGCACUAAAAGUGAAACUUCAGAUGGUAAUAAAAGGGUUCCCUAUGAUUCGAAAUGUAUUAUCUACCUAUUUGUGGAAAAACUGAAAAUGUAAGAAGGCAAACUUUUCAAG
Pelobates cultripes (western spadefoot toad) is the source of this 553-nucleotide non-coding RNA. Lineage: Eukaryota; Metazoa; Chordata; Amphibia; Anura; Pelobatidae. The record is from the annotation of a GenBank genome assembly.